Molecule: long non-coding RNA, 294 nt
Filed under: Gossypium barbadense (sea-island cotton)
Lineage: Eukaryota; Viridiplantae; Streptophyta; Magnoliopsida; Malvales; Malvaceae
Description: long non-coding RNA (GBAR_LNC023313)
Source: RNAcentral
UGGGAAGCACCUAAGGUUGUCGCCACCCUCAACUACCACCCAAGCACCGAUUGUGACUCAAACACCGAGCGAGCAACCAACCAACAAUGUAAAAAGACAACUUCUGAUGCAAUACAAUUUCUGGUGUCGACACGUCCUGCUUCCAUAGGCAAUGUUACGAUGGUGCCAAAUACUUUAAAAAGUACAUAGAAGCUUCCCUUGACGCUCAAUCCGAUGACCAGCAAGGACCGUGACAAUAAAAUUUGAAACGACCUCAAAUACAAACCCAUCCCCAACAAAUCCCAAACAACUCUG